AUUCCCUUUUUCCUUAAAUUAUUUGCUUUCAUUAAAUGACUUGUUAGUUAAUCAUGCUAUCUUGAAAAGAAAGUAAAAAUGUUAAAAAUCGUAAGCCCCAUGUGAGUAUGCUCGUGGCAUAAAACCCAUAAGUACAUUCACUAUGGUGGCGUAAAAAUAAAAUAAAUAUAUUCCUGUCCUACAAAAAUUAAAAUAUAAAAAUAGAUUGUGAUCCUACUAAAGAGAGUAACAUUUAUAGAGGAAGCUCAAUAUGAUUACGGCUAAGAGAUUUUAUGCUAACACUUAACCAGUUCCACAAAGCUUUGUUGUCUAUUUGAGCUCCACAGAAUUCAAGAAUCCAAGAAGACUAGCAGACGGAGGACAUCCUAAUCGCUGUCAGGGUGCUGCCGACAUUUAAAUACACCUUCGCCACCUGCUAGCUACAUCAGAAGAAAUUACGUCAAAAUCCAGCUUGGGGGAGAGCACCCCCAUUUAUCCAGCUAAGUGUUCUACUCACUUUAUACUUUACUCAAAUAAUAAAAAGAUGCAUAAUCAUAAAAACCCAAAUAAAGAUUUUAUGCUUAUAUAUAUCUUUGCUUAGUUUUCUGAAUAAAUAAAUAAAUAAAGUUUGCUAUAAACCCUCAUGAUAAGCUCUCACAUGGAAAUGAUGAAUAGUUACUCUGCCAUGACUAGUUCUCAAAAUUAAAAAUCUCUCUCAAGUUUAGGCAUGACUGUUAUUAAUUAAGUUUUGCUCAACUUGUGGGAAGAGUACUUGAUCUAAAGUCUAAGUCGUUAACGGAUACGAUAUGGGAAGGUUAAGAUGUUGUUUAUCUGUUCCUAGAGAUGCUAGAAUUCUGGAGAAUUUUAUCUUUGAAAAUCUUUAAAAUAACACAUGAUGAGUUCCUGUAUAAUGAGAGUUUAAAUUCCUACCACAGCCAUAUAUACAUGCUUGCUAGACUUUGAGCCACACAUUUACUUUUUACUGCUUAUGAGCAUUGAGUGAGGUCAAGCUGUGUAGACCCUUAGGAGCUUGUCAUGUGGUUAAAAUCAAGAUUUACUUGCACGUUCACUCACACAUCCUGCUUCUACUCCGGAAGUACGCAUCCACAUACAUCCACUCAUUUCCAUAUCCAGAUUCACCCAAAAUUAUUCUACUCCUAUCUAGGAGAGAAUAGCCAAAAACAUUAUCCUAUCCCUGUUAUUCCCCGUGAAAUAAAUGCUCGAGAUGUUUUGGUUACUACCACUUGCUACAUUAUUCCACGAGGGUGAGUGCUCUAAAAAAAGUGAAUACAAGGAAAUAAAAAGGGGCAAGUGCCCAAAACCUCAGAAAAAAAGAGAAGAAAAAGUGAGACGAGAGGUAAAAAUGGACAAGUGUCCGACAGUAGAAUUAGGGGUACAAGAUACCCACCUGAGAGAAAAGAAAAAUAAAAUAUAGAGCAUAUCAUUCCCCUCAAAAGCCUCAAGUGCAAGGAAGGUAUUACCCACUCAAAAGAGCAAAAGUAGAAUUAGACUUUCACCAUUAUUUUCACCAUUAUCACCAUUCCUUCGCCACACAUGCACAUCUUGAUUUGACUCAUUGACUUGUUCUUCUGGAUCCAUGGUUUGACUAUGCAAUAAAUGUCUUGUAAGUAUGUAUUAGCUGUCUCCCACCUAUGAGCUCCAGAUAUCAAAACCUUAUUAGAGUAGGGUGAGAGAGAAGACAAUGCCACUAUGCCUCAUACCAAAAAUACCAUAUACUUUGAAGGCAUACACCAUUACUGCCUUGGUAAGGAUCCAGAAAUACCAUAAAAGAGAGACUAGAGAGAGUCAUAUAAGGAAUCUCUGAGUUUUAUUGGAAAAUCUACAAAAACUCCAGAGCUAUAGUUAAUCGAAGAACAAGAGAUAUGGUGCUUGACUAGACCGUUCUAUCUUUUAAUUGCUCAAGACGCAAGUGACGGUUGCAAGCCCCAUGGUGAAAGGUAAAAUGAGUAAGUUUUAAGUCGUAACAGUUUACUCUAACUCAGAGAUG
RNAcentral lists this long non-coding RNA (1987 nucleotides) under Sorghum bicolor (sorghum). Its description in RNAcentral is "long non-coding RNA (SBIC_LNC017375)". Lineage: Eukaryota; Viridiplantae; Streptophyta; Magnoliopsida; Poales; Poaceae. The record is from RNAcentral.